AAAUAAAUUUCUCCCGAGCUACUCUCGCGUGCCCACCUAUCCACUCAUAAUUGCGGUUCCAGUCGAUUCGGGGUCCCGUUGGCGAGCGGCGAGCGGGACGAGCGUAGGCGGCAGCUGCUUCCGUCGGAUUUCCGGCGGUGAGUGGUCGGCGGCAGCUGUGCUUCGGCGUUCAUCGACGACGGAAGGGGCGACAAGCAGCUUACCGCGAGCUCAGUUCUGAUUUUGACGGCGCGGCCGUCCACGGAGGAGCAGACCCGAGCCCUUGAUAUCCACCGGCGGCAGCAGCCGUCUCUCUCUCUCUCCCUCCCUCAGGCCAAGAGCAUACAGGUGAUUCUCUCUCCUCCGGUGAAGAAGCUCGUCCCAGUGGUUAAAUCUCCUCCGGCGAAGCCGACUCUCCCUCCACUUCACUCCGGCCGGCAGCGGCUUCGCACGGCUCGACCGUCGAGGGGCCCUCCUGCACCUGCAGCACGACCUCCGACCCCCUGAGCCGCUGCCCUGCCGCCGACCGCAGGUCCUCAUCUUCCCUUCACCGACUUGUUCGACGAGCUGCACGACCGCCCGCACUCAUCUACUGUUAAGAACACAUUACAGGGUGCUUAUGCUUAUGAUAUAAAUGGGAAAAAGUAUAUAGAUGCUCUUGCGGGACUGUGGUGUGCAGCUCUAGGUGGUAACGAACCUCGACUUGUGAAAGCUGCAACAGACCAAUUAAAGAAAUUAUCCUUCUACCAUUCGUUCUGGAAUCGUACUACCAAACCCUCACUGGAUCUUGCAAAUGAUAUUCUGAACAUGUUCACUGCAAGGGAAAUGGGAAAGGUAUUCUUCACAAAUAGCGGUUCAGAAGCAAAUGACUCUCAGACCACAUGACCAUCAGUGUGUUUCGUGCGAGCUCGAGGAAUAAGUGAACCUUUUCCUCCAGUGAGUUCUUGCUCCAAUGGGUUCGCUGCUGGUGAUAUCUCCUCCACCUCCUGCUCCAGUGAGCUCUUCCCCUGCAUCACCGCCUCUCCGCCAGUAAAACUGCAUGCGCAAUGAAGGUUACAGGCAAAACUCCCGAUAAAGUUAAAAAAAUCAAUAUACAAGGGAGCCAGGAUUCAGCUACAUUUCAUUUUGCUGCUCCUGUACUUGCCGCCUGCCGCCGCAGACGCCACCCGGUGCUUCUAUGGAUAAGUUGAUUAUGUUGAUUUUUCAAGUGGCAGGGUACAACGUUCUUCCUGACUCUUUGAGUGGGUAGUAAGAUUGUUUGAGCAAAUAGUAAGUGAUGUCUUCAGCAAUACUUGAGGAAGGAGGCCUAGUGCGAGACAGCUAAAUGGAUGGCGGCCGGUGGGCGAAUGCAAAUUUUGGAAAGCCCGUAGAUGCUUUGUGCUUCAGCUUCUCUUUCCAGAGCUCUGUCUUCAGCUUUGUGCUUCGGCCGUCCACUCGUCUAUCAACCAACAGUGGGAUGAUGCCAUCAGUUACGCUCUGCAACGAAAUGAGCACGGGGGCCAUAUGCGAGGUGUCGGUUCCGGGCCCUUUCGCAGGCAGAUGGCAAAAGAGGAAGGUUUCUGCAAACGCAGAAAGGCGUCCAGCAAAAAACAGAGCUCAGAGAAACUAGAUGAGAAGAUCCGGGUGUUGGCGAGGGAGGAGCUUAGGAAGCUCAUGCGGCUUGCAAGGGACCAGCAUGACGUCGACAACUUCAUCGAUCACGGUGUUUUCCCGGAGGCGCCCAUCCAACCAACCCCACCCGCAUCGGAUCCAUCCCCGCUGCAGAAUAAGAGCACCUCAUGCUCCGGCACCGAGUGCCAGCUUGACCUGCUUGGGGCACCCGACAAGAACCUCACGAAGGGCGUCAAAUGCCGGCUACACAUCCCGACGGUGGGGAACCCUCUAGGCGCGCGCGGG
Molecule: long non-coding RNA, 1875 nt
Organism: Brachypodium distachyon (stiff brome)
Lineage: Eukaryota; Viridiplantae; Streptophyta; Magnoliopsida; Poales; Poaceae
Exons: 9
Source: RefSeq, a predicted model, not a curated record